Molecule: long non-coding RNA, 200 nt
Filed under: Elaeis guineensis (African oil palm)
Lineage: Eukaryota; Viridiplantae; Streptophyta; Magnoliopsida; Arecales; Arecaceae
Description: long non-coding RNA (EGUI_LNC047873)
Source: RNAcentral
ACAUGCACAAGAUCUAAUCUAAACUACUUUAUCAAGAUCUAUAAUAUGAUUAAACAUGUGAUUAAGAUCUGAAAAUAAUAAAAUCUACAUCGAUUAUAUCGAUACUCUAGAUUAGAUCUAACCAUUAGAUUUAAUCAAAUCUGAUCUAACAAGUUUAGAACUCAUUAUUGAAGCAUGGAUUGUUGAUCUUCACAAUUGUA